ACUUCAUAUAGCAAACUUGGUGCCCGAAGUUUGGGGGAAAAGGGAAUCCAGUGAAAGUCUGGAGCGGUCCUCGCCACGGUAAGGAAAGAUGCAAAGGCCUCGGUGUUCAACCACCAGCCACUCGAUGAAAUCGGGGAAGGUGGUCUUUGCAAAUGAUUCCAAGUCCGGAGACCUGCCACGUUUGUGAGGCAAGA
This 194-nucleotide non-coding RNA is filed under the name Alicyclobacillus sp. Lineage: Bacteria; Bacillati; Bacillota; Bacilli; Caryophanales; Alicyclobacillaceae. The record is from RNAcentral.